GGAUAGGUACGGGAGAAUCCAGCCCUGGAAAGGCUGGUGUCGGCGGUUCGAUUCGGUCCCUGGCCACCA
RNAcentral lists this transfer RNA (69 nucleotides) under Terriglobia bacterium. Its description in RNAcentral is "tRNA-Ser". The record is from RNAcentral. Lineage: Bacteria; Pseudomonadati; Acidobacteriota; Terriglobia.